GUUACAUUUAACGAGCGACCACAAAGUAUAUAUAUAUAGUUAUAUUGAAUUAAGUUUAUGUAUUUUAUAAGAUACUCUAAAAUAUAAUAAAUGAAGUAUGCGGUGCAAGAUAUGUGUGAUAUUAUUUUAUAUUCCAUGUUUUAUAGAAACUGUUAAUGUUGAUGUGGAAGGAUUUAUUGCUCUAUCAACAGAAGUUAAGAUUAGUGACGAACUUUCUAUUGAAGAAAAUCCUUUUAAUUAUUUAAGAAAAAGUCAAUCUGGAAAAAAAAAAAAGAAAACAUCGAAACACACCUUAAGAGGAAACGUUACCGAUGCAAAUGAAAGUGAACAUAAUAAUCACACACAUAAACCUAGGAAAGUAGAAGACAUCAAAGAUGUAGAAGAUUUUGCCCGCCAUGUGUUCAAAAAUUCAAUUAAAACAAUUAAAUCAAUAAAUCGAAGAUUGGACAAAAAUCUUAGAUCAAAAGCGAACUUUUCAGAAGAAGCAUAUAAAUGGAGGUUUAUACGAUUCAUCAAUGAUUCUCUCAGUCACACGAUGAGGACGGAAUCAGGAACACAAAAAUUUGUAUUAAAUACAAUACAAACUUCCAAUAAUAUUUUACGAAGACUUACCAAUUAUUUUUUGUUAAACACUUUUAAACAAGGCCCCGGAGGUAAUGUAGAAGAAACUCUUCUUAAAGAAAUUGACAGAAAUAACAAAAAGGAAUACAAAUAUAUCUGUCAACGAUAUCACAUCUGCAGAAGCGACAAAAGUUUCUCAUCUUUUCUGGGUGAAUUCACUUCAAUAAUGGCGACAUUAGAUUCGUCACAAUUAAAAACAGCUAAUAACGCGUUAACCGAAGUUUUAAAAGAAACUGAUGUUAGCAAAAUAAUGGAUAAAAGCACAGAAGCCACAUUCAAGAAAACUAUAAAUAAUUUAGAAAUCAUUGACGGAUCGGCAAUGAAACCAGCAAUUAUAAUAUUAAAAAAUAUUUUUAUAAACAGAAAUAAACCUUUGCCGAUUCUAAGGGAGAUGAGAGUAUCUGUGUCCACGCUCACUGUACCAAUACAAGCAGUUAAUAAUAUUUUAGAUGCUUUUGAUAUGGCUUUACCACCUACUCGACAUAACAAAUUAGAAUGGAGUCAAAUCAAUAACAGUUUCAAAGAAUGGCGUGAUGGGAAGAGAACCGAUAUAUUGCAAAUUGUACAGCGAUUGGUCAGCCAUAUGGAUAAAGGGGUUGACUUAAUGGAUUCAGCUGCACGCGAGCAGAUGAAAAAAGAUUUCAAAGCCUUAUAUCCAAAAGUAUCAAAAACUCAGUGAUGCAUAUGUAAUACAAAAUCUGGUCAUAUGUUUUGUUAUAAAUAAAUUUAUACAUAAAUUGUUAUUUUUCAAAUAUUUGAGUUUCUUCUUAAUAAUAAUAAUUAAAAAAUAAAUGCAGUUGCUUUGAAAUACCAGUUAACAAUAUUAAUCGGUACAGCAUACUUGCAAAUAAUAAUAAAAAAUGAGAUGUACUCAUGAUAUUAUGAUUAUUUUUAAAGCCGAAAUGGUACAUUAAUUGUGAUGUAAAUAUUUUAUUUUGAAUUGGGUUUAAUUUUGUAGAUACAUUACAUUGUGUACAUAGAAAGAAUAUAUUUUACGUCAGCUUUCAGCAGUACUAGUAAUUGUUCUGAAAUGGAUCAAACGCAUUUCUCAAGUAUUUUCUAUUUCAUUCGUAUGGUUAUGCAUUGAAAUAAACAUAUUUGUAUUGUUCAAAACAAUUUACACUUUCUAAUAAAACCUGUCGUAAAGAUUUUACAAUUGUUACCGUAAUAUAAACUGUAGCAUAUUUGACGAUUAACCUCACAAUGUAUACCUGUUACUCAAGAAUUUAGGUUUAGUAACCAUGGUGUCUAUUCAAGCAUCAUUAAAACUUCAUGUCUUUUAAAUUUUAGACAAAAAUACAAAAAAUAAAUUUAAUUGAUGCAGUAUUAUGAUCUAAAGAAAGUGAUGGUGUACAUGCUUUUUGUAAUAUUUUUAUUAUUGUUUUAUCCAUUUUGUAUAAGUUUUAUUAAAGCCGUGAAUGUCGAUAUUCAAGGGAUCAUACAUUUUAAUAUUGAUACUGAUUUGGAUGAAUCCACAUCCAGCGGUAACAAAAGGAAAGAUAACAAAAAAUAUAGCGAUUCGUCUUCAGAAUAUUCAAAGAAAAUGACAAAGGGAGAUGUAAAAAAGCUAAUAAACAUUUUACUCAAUGAUGCAAAUUUUCGAGAAACAAAACCUUACAAAAUUAGAGAAAUUGAAGACUUAAAUAAUUUCACUAGCAAAGUCUUGAAAAGAUCUCUUAGAACUUUAAAGAAAAUCAAUGAUCAUGUGGACAAUAGACUAAAAUCAAAAGUAAAGCGGUUAGCUGUUAUGUAUCAAGUAAAAUUUAGCCAUAAUCUGAAUGAAUCACUAGACCACAUAAUACGGACACGAUUUGGAUUACAGAAAUUUAUGUUAAAUACUUUAAGGACAUCAGAUAAUAUUUUACAGAGGCUAAAGAACAAUUUAAUCUACGACUUAAACAAAAGUCAUAACUUGGGAAUUAGAAGCAAUACAAGUGAAUAUAUAAAUAAUCAUAUCAACGAGACCAAAUAUCUUCAACUGCAAUAUAUUUGUAUGAAUUACAAUAUCUGCGAGAGUAAUGUACGUUUUUCAAUGUUUUUGGCAAAUUUAGCUUUCAUGGUAACACAUUCUAUGAAUAUUACUAAAAUGAAAGUACAAAGAAAUUCGUUCGUGAAUUAUUUAUCUAAGGCUAAUGUUAGCAAACAUAUGAAUGAAACAACAAUGCAAAAUUUCUACCAGGUUCUUAACUUUAUGCAGAUGUGGAGUGACAAUAAAAUAAGAGACACCUUUAUCAUGGUUUUUCAUAUGUUAGUAUAUCCAACAAAACCUGUUGCACCUAACGGGACACAGUUUGCGAAACAUAUAGUUCCUUUGUUUGAAAUAAUUACAUUAUUAGACAAGUGUAUUCCACCUAGUAAUGGCACAAAAUCGAGAUGGAGCUGUAUUGAAAAAGUGUACUCUGAAUGGAUAGACGCAAAAAUCAGCGACAAUGUAAUUGACAACAUUACUAAAGCCAUAUUUGAGGAAAUAGAAGAUGGUAUACAUAAGAUGAGAAAAGAAACAUUGGAGUUUUUCAAGAGACAAAUAGCUAUCAUUUGCCAAUACUAUGAGAUAGAUUAUGACUAAGACGUGAUGCCGAGGCUCGAUAUCACAUAAACAUCGUUAUAUAUAUAUACGUUUAUUGAAAUAAAAUAUAAUUACUCUAAAUUAUAAUAU
RNA transcript from Plodia interpunctella (Indianmeal moth), 3277 nucleotides. RefSeq lists it as uncharacterized. The record is from RefSeq and is a predicted model, not a curated record. Lineage: Eukaryota; Metazoa; Arthropoda; Insecta; Lepidoptera; Pyralidae. The transcript is spliced from 3 exons.